This 614-nucleotide ribosomal RNA is filed under the name Hyphoderma pinicola. Its description in RNAcentral is "eukaryotic LSU rRNA". The stretch from base 206 to 359 matches the Rfam family "5.8S ribosomal RNA". The record is from RNAcentral. Lineage: Eukaryota; Fungi; Basidiomycota; Agaricomycetes; Polyporales; Hyphodermataceae.
CCUGCGGAAGGAUCAUUAAUGAAUUUAACGGCAGAGUUGUCGCUGGCCAUCUGGCAUGUGCACGCUCUGUUAAUUCAUCCACACACCUUUGUGCACCUUUCAUAGAUUGACAUACGGUGGAGUUCUUUCUUUACCAGUCUUUCUGUGCUAUAUCCUUACAAACAUCAGUAUCAGAAUGUCUCCUUGCGAUUAACGCAUUAAAUACAACUUUCAACAACGGAUCUCUUGGCUCUCGCAUCGAUGAAGAACGCAGCGAAAUGCGAUAAGUAAUGUGAAUUGCAGAAUUCAGUGAAUCAUCGAAUCUUUGAACGCACCUUGCGCUCUUUGGUAUUCCGAAGAGCAUGCCUGUUUGAGUGUCAUGUAUUCCUCAAUCUCUUCAGAUUUUUCUGUGGAAGAUUGGAUUUGGAAGCUGCUGGUUACACCUUGAUCAGCUCUUCUUAAAUGCAUUAGUGUGGAUGUUGUCAGAUGUUCUCCAGUGUAAUAAUCCAUUUGCGCUGCAAGGACUUUGGCAGAUUAUAUGUCCACGCUUCUAAUCGUCUGUUUCAGACAAUACCUGUUGCAUUUGACCUCAAAUCAGGUAGGAUUACCCGCUGAACUUAAGCAUAUCAAAAGCC